RNAcentral lists this ribosomal RNA (202 nucleotides) under uncultured bacterium. Its description in RNAcentral is "partial 16S ribosomal RNA". It matches the Rfam family "Bacterial small subunit ribosomal RNA", at positions 524 to 728 of the family's 1533-position model. The record is from RNAcentral.
GACGUAGGGGCAAGCGUUGUUCGGAAUUAUUGGGCGUAAAGCGCUCGUAGGCGGGACUGGAAGUCCGUGUUGAAAGACCUCGGCUCAACUGAGGGACCGGCUCGGAUACUCUAGUUCUUGAGGCAAUCAGAGGGUGAUGGAAUUCCCGGUGUAGCGGUGAAAUGCGUAGAUAUCGGAGGAACACCAGUGGCGAAGCGAUCAC